GAUGAACGCUAGCGGCAGGCCUAACACAUGCAAGUCGAGGGGCAGCACAGAAACAGCAAUGUUUUGGUGGCGACCGGCGGACGGGUGCGUAACGCGUAUGCAACCUACCUUUAACAGGGGGAUAACGGAGAGAAAUUUCCACUAAUACCCCAUAACAUCGAUCAAGGCAUCUUGAUUGGUUGAAAACUCCGGUGGUUAAAGAUGGGCAUGCGUUGUAUUAGGUAGUUGGUGAGGUAAUGGCUCACCAAGCCUACGAUACAUAGGGGGACUGAGAGGUUAGCCCCCCACACUGGUACUGAGACACGGACCAGACUCCUACGGGAGGCAGCAGUGAGGAAUAUUGGUCAAUGGGCGGAAGCCUGAACCAGCCAUGCCGCGUGCAGGAUGACGGCUCUAUGAGUUGUAAACUGCUUUUGUACGAGGGUAAAGUGGGCUACGUGUAGCCUUUUGAAAGUAUCGUACGAAUAAGGAUCGGCUAACUCCGUGCCAGCCGCCGCGGUAA
This 502-nucleotide ribosomal RNA is filed under the name uncultured bacterium. Its description in RNAcentral is "partial 16S ribosomal RNA". It matches the Rfam family "Bacterial small subunit ribosomal RNA", at positions 28 to 523 of the family's 1533-position model. The record is from RNAcentral.